Molecule: ribosomal RNA, 380 nt
Filed under: Symphytocarpus confluens
Lineage: Eukaryota; Evosea; Eumycetozoa; Stemonitida; Stemonitidae
Description: SSU rRNA
Rfam family: Eukaryotic small subunit ribosomal RNA
Source: RNAcentral
UAUCUCUGAAUCUGCGAACGGCUCCGCACACCAGUUGUAAACCAAAGCAGUAUCGCCCCGGGUCGGGGUUUACCCUGGGCCCGGUGCGAUAUGGAUAACCGUGGCAAUCCUGAGGCUAAUACAUGACAAAAAAGCCUGACCCCCCUGCCGGCUUUUGCCGGUGGUUGGGGGGAGGGAAGCGUGCGGCGCGUCGAGCUUGAACUGGAUCAGGAAAGAAAGCACGCUCAGACCACCGUGAAGGGUAAGGGAUAGUCUCAAUCCUGGUGGCGCCUGCGGCUUGCUUCUGACCUAUCAACUAGACGGCAGCUUAAGGGACAUGCACUGGUAACAACGGGUACAGAGGAUAAGGGUUCGAUCCUGGAGAGUGGGCCUGAGAGAUU